AGAGUUUGAUCAUGGCUCAGAUUGAACGCUGGCGGCAUGCCUUACACAUGCARGUCGAACGGUAACAGGUCUUCGGAUGCUGACGAGUGGCGAACGGGUGAGUAAUACAUCGGAACGUGCCCGAUCGUGGGGGAUAACGAGGCGAAAGCUUUGCUAAUACCGCAUACGAUCUACGGAUGAAAGCGGGGGAUCUUCGGACCUCGCGCGGACGGAGCGGCCGAUGGCAGAUUAGGUAGUUGGUGGGAUAAAAGCUUACCAAGCCGACGAUCUGUAGCUGGUCUGAGAGGAUGAUCAGCCACACUGGGACUGAGACACGGCCCAGACUCCUACGGGAGGCARCAGUGGGGAAUUUUGGACAAUGGGCGAAAGCCUGAUCCAGCCAUGCCGCGUGCAGGAUGAAGGCCUUCGGGUUGUAAACUGCUUUUGUACGGAACGAAAAGCCUCUUUCUAAUAAAGAGGGGUCAUGACGGUACCGUAAGAAUAAGCACCGGCUAACUACGUGCCAGCAGCCGCGGUAAUACGUAGGGUGCAAGCGUUAAUCGGAAUUACUGGGCGUAAAGCGUGCGCAGGCGGUUUUGUAAGACAGAGGUGAAAUCCCCGGGCUCAACCUGGGAACUGCCUUUGUGACUGCAAGGCUGGAGUGCGGCAGAGGGGGAUGGAAUUCCGCGUGUAGCAGUGAAAUGCGUAGAUAUGCGGAGGAACACCGAUGGCGAAGGCAAUCCCCUGGGCCUGCACUGACGCUCAUGCACGAAAGCGUGGGGAGCAAACAGGAUUAGAUACCCYGGUAGU
Molecule: ribosomal RNA, 789 nt
Filed under: uncultured bacterium
Lineage: Bacteria
Description: bacterial SSU rRNA
Rfam family: Bacterial small subunit ribosomal RNA
Source: RNAcentral